RNAcentral lists this ribosomal RNA (885 nucleotides) under Phaeoisaria clematidis. Its description in RNAcentral is "LSU rRNA". It matches the Rfam family "Eukaryotic large subunit ribosomal RNA", at positions 38 to 953 of the family's 3401-position model. The record is from RNAcentral. Lineage: Eukaryota; Fungi; Ascomycota; Sordariomycetes; Pleurotheciales; Pleurotheciaceae.
GCAUAUCAAUAAGCGGAGGAAAAGAAACCAACAGGGAUUGCCUCAGUAACGGCGAGUGAAGCGGCAACAGCCCAGAUUUGAAAUCUGACUUUCGGGUCCGAGUUGUAAUCUGCAGAUGAGUCUUCCGGCAGAGCGCCGUCCAAGUGCCCUGGAACGGGUCGCCGGAGAGGGUGAGAGCCCCGUACCGACGCGCGCCGAGCCUCUGUGAAGCUCAUUCGAAGAGUCGAGUAGUUUGGAAAUGCUGCUCUAAUUGUGGGGUAAAUCUCCCAUAAGGCUAAAUACCGGCCAGAGACCGAUAGCGCACAAGUAGCGUGAGCGAAAGAUGAAAAGAGCCUUGAACAAGGGCGUCAAAAAGCAUGUGAAAUUGUUGUGGGGGAAGCGUUCGAUGCCAGACAUGGCGGCGGUUGGUUACCCGGCGUUCUUCGCCGGCGCACUCUGCCGUCGCCAGGCCAGCAUCAGUUCGGAUCGAGGCCUACUGCCAGUGGGAACGUGGCUCCUCCGGGAGUGUUAUAGCCCAUUGGUAACGUCUCGGACCGGACUGAGGACCGCGCUUCGGCUCGGAUGCUGGCGUAAUGGCCUCUAGCGACCCGUCUUGAAACACGGACCAAGGAGUUGACCUAGCGUGCGAGUGUUUGGGUGUCAAGCCCUUACGCGCAGUGAAAGCGAAUGCAGGUGGGAGCUUCGGCGCACCAUCGACCGAUCCUGAAGUUUACGGAUGGAUUUGAGUAAGAGCACGUUGGGUCUGACCCGAAAGAAGGUGAACUAUGCAUGAAUAGGGUGAAGCCAGAGGAAACUCUGGUGGAGGCUCGCAGCGGUUCUGACGUGCAAAUCGAUCGUCAAAUUUGUGCAUGGGGGCGAAAGACCAAUCGAACCUUCUAGUAGCUG